CGCAUCUGUGCAUGCAGCAUAUCAAUAAGCGGAGGAAAAGAAACUAACAAGGAUUCCCCUAGUAACGGCGAGUGAAGCGGGAAGAGCUCAAAUUUGAAAUCUUAAAGGGUUUCCCUUUACGAAUUGUAGUUUAAAGAAGUGUUUUCUGUUGAGGUUUUGGUAAAAGUUCUUUGGAAUAGGACAUCAUAGAGGGUGAGAAUCCCGUAUUUGACCUUUACUUUCAACUUUGUGAUACACUUUCAAAGAGUCGGAUUGUAUUGGGAAUGCAGUCCAAAAUGGGUGGUAAAUUUCAUCUAAAGCUAAAUAUUGGCGAGAGACCGAUAGCGAACAAGUACCGUGAGGGAAAGAUGAAAAGAACUUUGAAAAGAGAGUUAAACAGUACGUGAAAUUGUCAAAAGGGAAGCGUUUGACACCAGUGUUGUUUUUCUGAAAAUCAAUUAAAGAACUGUUUAUGCUAAGCUGUUUAGACUUUAUCAGCUAUCUGUUUAGUUUUGAGCUUUUCUUUAAUGCACUUUUCAGUUAACAAGUCAACAUCAAUUUCUUUUGCUGUAAAAAAGCUUGAGGAAGGUGGCUUGAGAUUCGUCUUAAGUGUUUAUAGCCUCUUGCCUAUGCAGUCGGAGAGAUUGAGGUCUGCAGCGUAGAUCCUUCGGGGCUAAAUGCAUUUGUGCUAAGUUAUAGCAUUUUAUAGACAACUUGUUGACUAUGAUUUGUCUUGUAGCUUACUCGCUUAUGUUAUUUUACCUACGCUUAGGAUGUUGAGUCGUAGAGCACGCAG
Molecule: ribosomal RNA, 775 nt
Filed under: uncultured Neocallimastigales
Lineage: Eukaryota; Fungi; Neocallimastigomycota; Neocallimastigomycetes; Neocallimastigales
Description: partial large subunit ribosomal RNA
Rfam family: Eukaryotic large subunit ribosomal RNA
Source: RNAcentral